Molecule: ribosomal RNA, 459 nt
Filed under: uncultured bacterium
Lineage: Bacteria
Description: partial 16S ribosomal RNA
Rfam family: Bacterial small subunit ribosomal RNA
Source: RNAcentral
CCUACGGGAGGCAGCAGUGAGGAAUAUUGGUCAAUGGCCGAGAGGCUGAACCAGCAAAGUCGCGUGAGGGAAGACGGCCCUACGGGUUGUAAACCUCUUUUGUCGGGGAGCAAAGCGAGUCACGUGUGACUCAUUGAGAGUACCCGAAGAAAAAGCAUCGGCUAACUCCGUGCCAGCAGCCGCGGUAAUACGGAGGAUGCGAGCGUUAUCCGGAUUUAUUGGGUUGAAAGGGUGCGCAGGCGGAGGUGCAAGUCAGCGGUAAAAUUGCGGGGCUCAACCCCGUACUGCCGUUGAAACUGCAUCCCUUGAGUGCGGGAGAGGUAUGCGGAAUGCGUGGUGUAGCGGUGAAAUGCAUAGAUAUCACGAAGAACUCCGAUUGCGAAGGCAGCAUACCGGCGCGCAACUGACGCUCAUGCACGAAAGCGUGGGUAUCGAACAGGAUUAGAUACCCGGGUAGUC